Molecule: non-coding RNA, 621 nt
Organism: Misgurnus anguillicaudatus (oriental weatherfish)
Lineage: Eukaryota; Metazoa; Chordata; Actinopteri; Cypriniformes; Cobitidae
Source: RefSeq, a predicted model, not a curated record
GCAGGAUUGCCGGUGGUGUCUUCUCGGAGCAGUUUGUGAAGUUGAGGGUCUUCUGCAGACUGAAAAACCACAGACAAGAUUUCAGACAUUGUGAUGUUACAGGAUUGCCAGUGGUGUCUUCUGGGAGCAGUUUGUGAAGUUGAGGGUCUUCUGUAGACUGUACAACCACGGACAAGAUUUCAGACAUUUAUAGGAUUGCCGGUGGUGUCUUCUCGGAGCAGUUUGUGAAGUUGAGGGUCUUCUGCAGACUGAAAAACCACAGACAAGAUUUCAGACAUUGUGAUUUUACAGACGACGUUCGAGGGGCGUGGUUGAAUUGGGCGGACAAGCAUUUGGGCAGAAGUUUGAUACCGCGGCUCUGCCUCAGGCUCCAUGGACGAUUCCUUCUGCGCAUGCCCUGGCACCAAACUGAUGUUUUUACAUAACAUGGCGGCGACCAUGGAGGCGGCGUCGUGUCGUCCAAUUUAUUUUACAGUCUAUAUAAACUACACUUAUACAGUAACAGUAACAUGCAUAAGUUUCAACUUGUCAAAUGUAUAAGAGGAAUGUUGUUUUUCUUGUAGGGAGAAAGAAGUUAGAAGCAUGUUACAGCAAAUGUAAAAUACAGUCCCAUUCUGUCUG